RNAcentral lists this long non-coding RNA (473 nucleotides) under Helianthus annuus (common sunflower). RNAcentral describes it as "hypothetical non coding rna". The record is from RNAcentral. Lineage: Eukaryota; Viridiplantae; Streptophyta; Magnoliopsida; Asterales; Asteraceae.
GAAUAUAGGUACGUAUGUAACACCCAAAAGUGCGAAAGCAAAAAGGGUUCGAGUAUACUCAUAGCGAUGAUGGAUUGAAGGGAGCGCGUAGGGUGAGAUUAGCCUGAUCAGAACGAUAGCAUAACGAUAAGCGAUACGUAAUAGGGUGAGGGGUAUCAGGGGAUCGGCAGUACUCCGAUCAGAUGGCUAUCCGAUCGGGUAGCCUAAUCAAACGGGUGACAAUCCGCUCGGAUGGUCAUCAGAUCGGGUGACCUUUCGAGUGGAUUAUUUCCUCCUUUGGGAAGGAUGUGUUUGUGUAUGAUGGCUUGACUUUUGAAGUUUUUGUUGUAGCAUUUUGAAAACACAGAAGUGUUUCUACCGUUCAGGUCGAUCGAUCGAACGACCGUUCGAUCGGGCGACAAUCCGGUAGGUUGAACACUUAGUGAGAACAAGUUCACAGCAGUUAGUCACUCGAUCGGAUUGUAGUCCGAUCG